CAUCGAUAAGUCGUGCGGCGCCCCGGUGGCCUGCUAAAUCAGCAUCCCCAGCAACAGCAAACCACAACAGCAACAGUUGCAGAAGGAGCCGCGUCGCAGUUGGAGCCAUGGAGGAUGGCGCACUCAAGCGACGGACAGCAGUAGCCGUUUCGGCCCCUGAUAACGAUGGAUGGAUGACUGAGACAUGGACUGGACUGGACUGGCUCUGGGUGCGUCUCUGUCUAAAUGGAACACUGUACUCCGAGGGGUAUGGGUGGGGUAUCGCCAUGUAUCCUCCUCAUUCCAUGUGCAUAAUGCAUUCAUUUGACAGCUCUGACCGGUGCGAAGCGACGCGACCACCGAUCGGGAUGGCUGGAUCAGCAUCUGGUUGGACGGCUUCUAAUGCCUCUUUCAAAUGUGCCGCACUUCCUACGGGAUCUACUUGGCACCGCACCACUCUUCUCCUGCCACUUCGCUAUUAAUUAGAAUGUAUGGUCGCUGCUUAUGUGCCCCUGCCCUCUGCCCAUGCCACUUCUCCGUUACCGUUCAUUUUUGGCAUUUCAGAGUUAACGGCACGCGACAUUUUAAAUAUGUAUGAUGUGCCCUCCAUCCAUCGCGCUGGGCUCUGCUCCUGUUUUGGGGUUCUCGGACUGCGUGAGUAAUUUCGGUGGCAUUCCACAAAUAUUAUUGCUCAAAUAUUUGAAACUUGAUUUGCAUUUUUCAGCACUCGCCUCGUUUGCACCCAACCAGCGCAGGGGCAGAGGACGGACGCGAACACGACUGUCCGCCCUGGGGCAGCUGUUGAAAUUGAUGCCUGGCCGCCUGGCGUUCGGCACUUGUGUCGAAUAUGCAGCACGGAUGGGGAAUGGGAUGCGGAUACACGAGUCGUCCUGGGCAUGAACCAAGAUAAUGAACGCCAUAGCGGGACAGCGGCCGAAUCUGGGAUACUCUAGCUAAAUCAAACUCACGGAGGUUCCGAAUUCGAACAAACUAUGUCUACGAUUGGAUAAUUAGAAGAACAAAAAUUAAAUACACAGCACUACAGAUACCUUUUACUUUAAAAUAAGAGAAAUUAAG
This 1056-nucleotide long non-coding RNA is filed under the name Drosophila guanche. The record is from RNAcentral. Lineage: Eukaryota; Metazoa; Arthropoda; Insecta; Diptera; Drosophilidae.